RNAcentral lists this ribosomal RNA (253 nucleotides) under uncultured bacterium. RNAcentral describes it as "partial 16S ribosomal RNA". It matches the Rfam family "Bacterial small subunit ribosomal RNA", at positions 524 to 776 of the family's 1533-position model. The record is from RNAcentral.
UACGGGGGGGGCAAGCGUUGUUCGGAAUUACUGGGCGUAAAGGGCUCGUAGGUGGCCAACUAAGUCAGACGUGAAAUCCCCAGGCUCAACUUGGGAACUGCGUCUGAUACUGGAUGGCUUGAAUUCGGGAGAGGGAUGCAGAAUUCCAGGUGUAGCGGUGAAAUGCGUAGAUAUCUGGAGGAACACCGGUGGCGAAGGCGGCAUCCUGGACCGAGAUUGACGCUGAGGCGCGAAAGCCAGGGGAGCAAACGGG